CCUACGGGCGGCAGCAGUGGGGAAUAUUGGACAAUGGGCGAAAGCCUGAUCCAGCCAUGCCGCGUGUGUGAAGAAGGCCUUCGGGUUGUAAAGCACUUUCAGUGGGGAAGAAAGCCUUGGGGCUAAUACCCUCGAGGAAGGACAUCACCCACAGAAGAAGCACCGGCUAACUCCGUGCCAGCAGCCGCGGUAAUACGGAGGGUGCGAGCGUUAAUCGGAAUUACUGGGCGUAAAGCGCGCGUAGGCGGUCUGAUAAGCCGGUUGUGAAAGCCCCGGGCUCAACCUGGGAACGGCAUCCGGAACUGUCAGGCUAGAGUGCAGGAGAGGAAGGUAGAAUUCCCGGUGUAGCGGUGAAAUGCGUAGAGAUCGGGAGGAAUACCAGUGGCGAAGGCGGCCUUCUGGACUGACACUGACGCUGAGGUGCGAAAGCGUGGGUAGCAAACAGGAUUAGAUACCCUGUAGU
This 463-nucleotide ribosomal RNA is filed under the name Vreelandella stevensii. RNAcentral's name for it is "partial 16S ribosomal RNA". It matches the Rfam family "Bacterial small subunit ribosomal RNA", at positions 338 to 794 of the family's 1533-position model. Lineage: Bacteria; Pseudomonadati; Pseudomonadota; Gammaproteobacteria; Oceanospirillales; Halomonadaceae. The record is from RNAcentral.